AUUUUUAUAUUCAAGUAUUGUUUAACUAUCUAAAAAAUAAAAUAUUAGGAAUACUCCCAGGCACGAUAAUCGAGAUAGCUCUUUUCACCAUACUUUCCAACGCCGGUGGAGCUUUGGCUCGCCGGCGUCGGGAUAUCUUUAGCUUUUCCCGACUCCUUUACAAUUCUCAACGAGCUUUCUUCCUCCUAGUUCUUCUGUUACCUUGGAACUCCUCCUUCCCUGCACCUUGCUUCCACAAAGCUCCAUUGCAUGACGAGACGAUAAAGAGUCUUCCGUUCUCGUCGCUUCUUAUCUCUACCGGAUCCCCUCGAAGUCAAAUAUGUCAUCUCCCUUGGUUUGGAGCUCUGCCUUGACACCGGAGCCGGUGAUGAUUUUUACGGCGGAAGGAUUAUCCCUUACCUUGCCAAGUUUCCGUCCCACCGCCCCCUCUCCAUACAACCGCACCGGCACUCUCAGCACCUCCCCAACUGAAGCAACUCUAGGGUUUCACUUGUUGGGCCUUUCUUUAUGCUGCGGCCCACUACCUUUGUCUCAGUCCAUUGCCAAAAAUCGCAGCCCACCUACAUUUCACUACAGGGCCAGGUUUGAUGACUUCAUUUCAUCUCCAAGCCCAUUUAUUACUUUGUUCUGUUUUCACGGCUUGAUCAACCGAAGACUUUGUUCAUGCCCUGAAGCGACAAACAAUACAAGGUGCUUUGAGCAUUCUUUUCAAAACCUGUUGUUAAACUGCCCUUUGACUUAAGUCUAUGAAACUUUAAGUGGGGAAACCAUCGAUGAACAUUUGUUUUUGAAGGCUCUUUCACUA
Non-coding RNA from Camelina sativa (false flax), 805 nucleotides. The record is from RefSeq and is a predicted model, not a curated record. Lineage: Eukaryota; Viridiplantae; Streptophyta; Magnoliopsida; Brassicales; Brassicaceae.